Molecule: ribosomal RNA, 496 nt
Filed under: uncultured bacterium
Lineage: Bacteria
Description: partial 16S ribosomal RNA
Rfam family: Bacterial small subunit ribosomal RNA
Source: RNAcentral
GAUGAACGCUGGCUACAGGCUUAACACAUGCAAGUCGAGGGGCAACGACGGGGAAGCUUGCUUCUCCGGGCGUCGACCGGCGCACGGGUGAGUAAUGCGUAUCCAUCUUGCCUCUGACUGAGGGUUAACCCGUCGAACGUAGGCUUAAUCCCUCAUGGCCUCGUCUGUGGGCAUCCAACGACGUCUAACGUUUUCCUCGGUCAGAGAUGGGGAUGCGUCUGAUUAGCUUGUUGGCGGGGUACCGGCCCACCAAGGCGACGAUCCGUAGCCGUUCUGAGUGGAGGAGCAGGGACACUCGAACUGAGACAGGGACCAGACUCAUACGGGAGGGAGCAGUGGGGAAUAGUGGAUAAGGGGCGGAAGCCUGAGCCAGACACACCGAGUGGGUGAAGAAGGUGUCCGGGUUGUGAAGUUGUAUUGUUGUGAAAGAAGAGAAGAAGGGUGGGACGUCGCUGUUCUGACGGGACCCAAAGAAAAAGCACCGGCUAACUUCGUG